RNAcentral lists this ribosomal RNA (236 nucleotides) under uncultured Desulfocapsa sp. Its description in RNAcentral is "partial 16S ribosomal RNA". It matches the Rfam family "Bacterial small subunit ribosomal RNA", at positions 1146 to 1382 of the family's 1533-position model. The record is from RNAcentral. Lineage: Bacteria; Pseudomonadati; Thermodesulfobacteriota; Desulfobulbia; Desulfobulbales; Desulfocapsaceae.
UGUGUGCCUUGUACAGCAAGGAGGAAGGUGGGAUGACGUCAAGUCCUCAUGGCCUUUAUGUCUAGGGCUACACACGUACUACAAUGGCAGGUACAAAGGGCAGCGACACAGCGAUGUGAUGCGAAUCCCGAAAAGCCUGUCUCAGUCCGGAUCGGAGUCUGCAACUCGACUCCGUGAAGUUGGAAUCGCUAGUAAUCGUGGAUCAGCAUGCCACGGUGAAUACGUUCCCGGGCCUU